RNAcentral lists this long non-coding RNA (497 nucleotides) under Gallus gallus (chicken). Its description in RNAcentral is "long non-coding RNA NONGGAT002335". Lineage: Eukaryota; Metazoa; Chordata; Aves; Galliformes; Phasianidae. The record is from RNAcentral.
CGCGUGCGCGCUGCCGCCUGCCCGCUGAGGGAAACUGCGCGUGCGCUUGAGCGCGGGAGUGGGCGCGCGCCUGUGGCGACCGUUAUGUGUAGCGUGGGCGGGAAAGCGGCUGUGAGGGGCUGGGUGGUAUCUGCGCAGAAGUGCGUUUGCGCAGGCGGGGUGGGAAAUACUGAGAAGUACAGUGGAGUUAACAGCCUGCCUGCCUGCAUUCCAGUUUACAACAGUAUCAUCAAUGACAACAAACAAAUAACUUCAUUCUAUGACUGGGAGGCUGCAAAUUACUUGACCUGUAGAAAUCUAGGCAUCAAGCAGUCAUAAUGUUAUCUAAAACCUCUGGAAAAGGUGGAUUGGACUCUUCUUGCAGCGUGUCUGCACAGCACCCCUGGCACUGAGGAGGAGGGUUGAUGUUUCAUGACUUCGGUUUUGGACUUUGGACAAGAGAUUUGCUUCUGUAAUCAGAAAGUUAAAAAUAUACCUUCUGCUGCUGUAAAAUCUGC